This 210-nucleotide long non-coding RNA is filed under the name Ananas comosus (pineapple). RNAcentral describes it as "long non-coding RNA (ACOM_LNC000922)". Lineage: Eukaryota; Viridiplantae; Streptophyta; Magnoliopsida; Poales; Bromeliaceae. The record is from RNAcentral.
GUGGAUUUGCGAUCGUGCUCGUUUGUAGUUCGAUCCACCGCGAGUUUGGAGCGUUUAGAAGACCUACAAGGACGAUCCAAGGACACGUGAAUCAACCUCUACGAUCCGGGCUCAUCGCGUUGUAGCGCGAAUCGCUUCCGCAAAAAGGUACGAACGAAUACUUCCGCUGCGUUCUACAUUGGUAUCAGAGCCAUAUUAGGUUGAUUUCGU